RNAcentral lists this long non-coding RNA (1071 nucleotides) under Pan troglodytes (chimpanzee). RNAcentral's name for it is "lincRNA". The record is from RNAcentral. Lineage: Eukaryota; Metazoa; Chordata; Mammalia; Primates; Hominidae.
AGAGAUCUUGGAAAUAGAGGCCAUGUGUAUUGAAACAAGACCGAACAACUCCAAGUUCCUGAAGACUUCAUUUCACCAACCCAGAACCUCCUCGAUCAUCACAGUGGUCGAACCAUUUUACGUUUUCACCAGCAAGGAAGGAGGGUUCCUGUUGCUCUACCAUUUGGUACUGUCAGCGUUUUGGAUAUUAGCCGUCCUAAUAGAAAAGAGUGAGUAACUAGUGGCCUUUAGAUGAGCCAACCGCAAGCCUGGACUCAUCUUUGACAUCUCCUGCUUCCCUCCAUAAUGACCGUCGUUGCUCCUCUUGCCCAAGGUGUUUGACUCUUUCUACAGCCUUUGCAUGGAUGAUUGUCUGUCCUCUGUUGGGCCCCUUCUGAAGAGAUGGAGUUGGUUGCAAACUAUAGAAACCAUUUGGGCUGGUUUGAGCAUAAAAGGAAAUUACUGGGAGUUAUUAGGUGCUCAGUGAUUCAUUGGGAGGUCUGGCAAAAAAGAAGCUCAAGGCUAAGCUCAUAGGAACACAGCCCGGCAUCUCACACAGAAGUGGCUUGAUGAGGAUUCUACUGCCUCCACAGCUCCUGCCAUCAUCUUCAUCUGCACCAUAGAUGCUCAGAACCCAGUCUGUGUCUGCAUGUUGCUGACUUCCAAAUGAGAGCUUCAUGACAGUGUAUUUGGUUGGUAGAACAUAGGUCCCAGACCUUCUCCCUGGGAGCUGGAAGAGAUGCUGGGAAAUUCUGCCCUGGAAAAAUAAAACUCACAACGUGGGAAACAAAGAAAAUGUACAGCAGGGGUUUAACAGAAUGACAGGUAUCUGCUAAAGAAAAUAUUGAUUUUUUUUUUUAAAAAAAGGACAAUUUUCCCUUUAGAGCCCCAGAAAGAUUCAGGCCUUAGAGGCACUAAGUACUAUAGAAAAUGAGGCUGAAGCAUGGGGCUGAAACUUGGUUUGGUUGAAGGUCUCUGGAAGGCAGAGCAGUUUAACCUCUAGGUUCCCUCAUCCACCCCCAUACAGCCAGACAAUUAUCCCUCCACCCUUCUGUUCUCCUCCCCUCUUCCCUUAGAAAACUUGAAGUUUAU